Molecule: transfer RNA, 75 nt
Filed under: Actinomycetota bacterium
Lineage: Bacteria; Bacillati; Actinomycetota
Also listed under: 1 other name
Description: Actinobacteria bacterium tRNA-Thr
Rfam family: tRNA
About the family: Transfer RNA (tRNA) molecules are approximately 80 nucleotides in length. Their secondary structure includes four short double-helical elements and three loops (D, anti-codon, and T loops). Further hydrogen bonds mediate the characteristic L-shaped molecular structure. tRNAs have two regions of fundamental functional importance: the anti-codon, which is responsible for specific mRNA codon recognition, and the 3' end, to which the tRNAs corresponding amino acid is attached (by aminoacyl-tRNA synthetases). tRNAs cope with the degeneracy of the genetic code in two manners: having more than one tRNA (with a specific anti-codon) for a particular amino acid; and 'wobble' base-pairing, i.e. permitting non-standard base-pairing at the 3rd anti-codon position.
Source: RNAcentral
GCCGUGAUGGUGUAACGGCAGCAUGCAUGUUUCGUCAAUCGUGCGGUACCGGUUCGAUUCCGGUUCAUGGCUCCA